GGAGAUUGUAUUAACACUCUCUUUUCAUGUGAUUGUCAGCUGGAUUGGACCCCAUUCAGAAACUUUUCCUAGAUUCAAUCCGCGCAUACUCCACAAAAAGCGGUGCCGCUGGUGGUCUAGUUGAUGCCGGUUCAGAAUAUCAGAAGGCUCUUGCUGAGGAAAUAACUAAACUGCAGCGGUUGUACAGUGGUGGUGAUCUGUCUUCCUUCCCUGAGUUCAAAUUCCCUGAGCCUAAAUUUGAUGAAGUGUCCUCCAAGUAAACUUCUGAUCCACUCCUGUGCCUCAGUGCAGUUUUGUGAAAGAAGUCUACUGUGUGAAGUCUAAGUGACUUUAAUCUGUAAAAGUG
This is a long non-coding RNA of Sinocyclocheilus anshuiensis, 346 nucleotides long. RefSeq lists it as uncharacterized. Lineage: Eukaryota; Metazoa; Chordata; Actinopteri; Cypriniformes; Cyprinidae. The record is from RefSeq and is a predicted model, not a curated record. The transcript has 3 exons.